Long non-coding RNA from Numida meleagris (helmeted guineafowl), 424 nucleotides. RefSeq lists it as uncharacterized. Lineage: Eukaryota; Metazoa; Chordata; Aves; Galliformes; Numididae. The transcript has 2 exons. The record is from RefSeq and is a predicted model, not a curated record.
AUGUUCUCACUGGCCCAUAUGCUCCCCAUUCUCCAGCACACUGGGCUGAGGAUGGUGAUGGAGAGGAGCAUGGGGAGGAGAGCUGGCUGUCACCCCUGGCAACCCUGACCAAGCAGAGCUGAGGGGAACCACUGAGCAGUGGGGACUGGUUCAGCUGAAGACAGACAUCUUGCUGAAAUCAAUGUGAAUAUUCACAUGCUCCAAGGCAGUCAAACUCCUGUCCAUCUUGUUGAACAUGGAUCAAAGAGCAUGCUUCAAUAAAGACAGGCCUGAACCUAGUCUUUGCUCUGGACCUAUACGCACAGGUAGGCCUGAACGCAAUGAGUGCUAUGAACCUACACGGGACAUAAGCGAAGAAGUGUUCACCACCAAAUUACUUGGAAAGGUCUUGUUUAUAAUAAAAAUUAAGCAUCCUCCUCUUCAA